Dioscorea cayenensis subsp. rotundata (Guinea yam) is the source of this 4098-nucleotide RNA transcript. RefSeq lists it as uncharacterized. The record is from RefSeq and is a predicted model, not a curated record. The transcript has 4 exons. Lineage: Eukaryota; Viridiplantae; Streptophyta; Magnoliopsida; Dioscoreales; Dioscoreaceae.
CUCUAUUUAUAGAGAGGAACUAGCCCACAAAUUUACCCAAAACCAAGAGCUCCAUGUUGAUUGUUUAAUGAGCCAUUAGUUUAUAAUCCAUGGAUUUGUUCAUUGGUUUUGGGCUAAUGGUUUUGAGCAAUUAGUUUAGGGCCAAAGGAUUGGAGGAGAUGGUUUUAACCAAUUGGUUUUGGGCCAACAGAUCUCGCUUAGGGAUUGCAUAUGGCACCACUUCCAUCCAUCCAUCCAUCCAUGGCGUCUCUGUUAGGAUCCUUCUGGCAGGUUGUUGAGGAUCAAAUGUUUGUGUUCUCUGUGGUUUACUGGAUGAUCAAAUCCAUCAUGAAGCUCUUUAGUGACAUCAGCAAUAUUACUAAAACUAUCUCUGCAGCAAAGUUACAACCACAUUUAAUUUGGACACUCAAACAGGUGAGUGAAAUUUUUUUAUCACAUUUAAUUGUUUAACAAUUUUAUUCUGUGAAAAAAACAGAUGCCUGGCCUUAUUUAUUUUUCAUGUCUAGAGCCAUUUGUUGCAGUGAAACGAUUUUCUUGAUAAAAUCCGACUUGUGGAUAAAUGACCUUCAUGGCAAUCUCAUAACUAUGAUUGAUAGUCCUAAAACUGCAUAUCCACUUGGAUAUUGGAAAUGUAAUUUGUUUUAUCCCUUUUGGUGCUAUGUGGAUGCUCGUACUUGACAUUUAUUAUGUAGACUCGAGGAAUAAUUAGUGGAAUAUCAGUAUGAAUGAUGCAAAAGUGAGGCUGGUGGUGGUUAGAUAUAGAGUUCCUUCUUUUAUAAAUACAAGAUCAUUGAUUAAGCAGGAAUCUUGACUGUGAACCUGAGGGGUGUAUUCAAAACAUUGUCUGGUGAUUGCUGCAUGCUGUUCUCUCUUUCUCUGCUUUAACAAAGUCAAUAAUCUAUAAUUUAACAUUAGGUAUUCCCUGUUUAUGAUGUUAAAAUGGCACAUGAUGACAUGAUAUAAACUUGAGAUCAUACCAGAUUAUGAAUAUACCUAACAUCAAUAAGCAUAUGCAGUAAGCCUAAAAUAAUUUUGGAUAUAUACUCAUAGAUUACUUAAAUCAAGCAUUAGGAAAGAAAAUAACAAAACAUUCACCAAGCUCAGUCAUAGAUGAGCAUGCAAGCUAGAUGAUCCUUUGCAAACUUGACCAUCUAAAUUAUAUUGAUUUAAACUGGCCCAAACAUUCACCAUUCAUCAAAUGACUCUAGUACUUUAUAAUUUUCACACCAUUUAUUUCCACACCCACCAAAUCAAAAUUUGUUCCAGUAUCAGAAUCCAAGCUUAACACGCAUAGUCAUGUAUUUGCAACCCUUGCUUAAUGGUGGAGUAAUUCACAGCCAUCCAAUCAAUCACAACAGAAAUUUUAUUUGGAAAUCAAAUCAAGUUUUCGUUUUCGUUUUCAUUAAUCCUUGUCAACCAAAAAAUAUGAACCAGGAAAUGGCACCCAAUUGAAAAAAAGAUUGCCCAUUAGUCCUGCCAAUUUAGCGGAAGCUUCAAAAGACAUUUGAAGUGCAUGAUUGGCAAGUGUAAAUGUGUACUAGAGUUAUUUUAGUAAUUCAUAAGGAAAACUAUCAAACUUUGCCUUUUAAAAAAGUUUCUUUUGCACAAUCGACAAUUAAAAGGCAUAUUCAUGACAAUUUUAAGGCUUUAUGGUUUUUAAAAACAAUUGUAACAACUGAGAUUUAGCUUAAAGCCAAAACUAACCAAAACUUAUAAUCAGGGAAAGAAUUCACAACAACCACUAGAUAUGAACCUUCUAAUAUUAUUCUGCAUAUUACCCCAAGUUCAUGUUUAACCUGUGAACCUUUUGAUAGCAGUCGAAGACUAAGAUGUGCAGGAUAUCCUAUCUUUAUUUCAAAUGAUAGUCAAAUUUUAGUUAAAAAAAUGUCAAUCAUAUAAUUCACAUUAAGUUUCAAUCCUAGCCACUAGAUAUGUAACAUGAGUGGUCAUCAUAAGAAUAUGUUAAAUUACAAAUCAUAGCUAAUGGCGGAAGGUCAGUCUGAGGAAAUGAGACCAGUUUUUCCAUCAGCAUAGCAAUAAGUGGCAUCAAAAUUUGUAGGUAGACCACAUCGUCCUUCAUAUUUGUAUAAAUCAAAUAAAAGAUGUUACCUAGGCUAUUGUGCUGUCAAAGCCUAGGUAAUUCAGAAAUUAUUUUUCUAAGAUUAUGAUGUUAAAAUGGCACAUGAUCACCUGUCCUUCAGAGUUCAAGAGUUAACUCUUUUUGAAGGAUAUGCAAUGAUUAUCUGAUCUAGCUUCUUAAUUUCUUCAGCAAAUUAAUUUCAAAUUGCUUCUUAGAUCAUGACCAACAACCACAGAUAACAUUAUGUAUUCCUUGUGUUUCCAGCAAUUAAUUUCAAAUUGCUAUUAAAUAUGUUCCUUUUCAGUAGAGACUGUUAAAUCUGAGCCACUUCCCAGAAAAUCUGGAGUUGUGGAGUCCUUCAUCUUCCCUUUUAAUCCGAGAAUGAGUCCUUGAUUUUCAUCCUUCAACAUUGUUUUUCUUUAUGCCAAGAAAUUUCUCUAGUUCAUUAUGUUUAAACUUAAUUUAUUAAUGUUGCUGUUUAUUUAAACUCUUAUUUUAUGUUUGAGGAUCAUGACUAGGAUAGAGCAAACUUCAUUAUCACAAUAGGAACAGUGUUUGCAAGCCAAAUGCACAUGGACCUUAACCAUAUAUUAAUCCUCUUCAGUUAAUGUACAAUGAAUUUGAGUAGUUGUCUGACUUUCAAUUGGAUUUAUUUAGACUGUUAAUUGAUGGAUAGUCUGGAGGGUUAGAAAUAUGCCUUCUCUGCAAGGGGAGUGUUGUCGGUGAGCUUAAUUUUUAUCCACAGAACCAGCUGCAAAUUAGUAUUGAUUAUGUAUUCAGACAAAUUAACACAGGGUGUAUCGUUUCUGUAUGUCUUCAAUACUGAAUACAAAUUCAAGUUUAUUUAUUUAUUUAUUUAUUUUUGAUGGAUUUUUCCAUCAUUAUAGACAACAAUCAUUUUAAGUUCGUUUUGAAUAACAACUGAACUAAAGUACAGAACACACAGCUUAGGUUCGUUUUGAAUAACAACUGAACAAAAGUACAGAACACACAGCUUAGGAUAAUAUGAUGCUUGAGACAUAAUAUGGACAUCUAUGUCAGUGCUUUGUACUGUGUUUUGCAAUUGUCUCUAUGAAGAGAUGGUAAGACAUGUAUGAUAAGACAUACAUGUCUGAUAUGCAUGAUAUAAGUCUAUAAUGAAGACUUGUAUCAUGCACAUUUACUUUGUUGAACUGGUUAUUGGUUUGAUCCAGCAAUGCUUCUUGUACAUGGCACUGGCAGAACUAAAACUUUUGAUAUUCAAUGAAGAUUUUCAAACAAGGCCUCGGUGGUACCCAACAUCCAAUAUAAAUUACCUUUUGGGUCAGUCUAGUUGCUUUGCAUUUGCUGAAACUUUUUACAGAUUGUCCCUAGAUUUUCUUUUCGGCUCCUUAUUUGUGUUGAUACGAGCUGAUGUUUCUUUGUUAAGAAAAUAUUGACUUUAAAUAAUUCUCAUUCUUGUUUUAUAUCGUCAUUAAGCUAAUUUGACUGAAUUACUUGUAGUGGACUUCACUGUCAUACUUAUUCUCAGAGACAUUUGAAGAAGGCACAGGCCAUCAAAGAGAACAAAAGGGAAAUGGGCCGCAAUCAAGUUGUAUUAUUUAUUCAUUUUGAUUCUAGGCGAAAUACUGCUUCUGUGACUCCAUCAUCUUCCCAUCUAUCUAUUGGGAAAGUACCUAUAAAUCCCCGGUAGACUACAAGCUAGGGUCCCAUUCUUCAGCUGCUCAGAAUCUCGAGGUAUUUGGGUAAACUUUGAGACAGCUCCUCAUACUUCUCAUGUUGCUGCCAGGACUGAGGAGUUUGCUUCCCAUGCCCCCUCACAAUUAAGAGGAUGUGGAACAACCUCAUCUUGUCGAUAAAAUUGCAACAAAAUGAAUGUGAUGUUUUGGAUUAUGAUAUUAGAUACUUUUAUAACUUUCUAUUGUUAUAUUAGAUGUUUAGACUAUUAUAUUUUGUUUUUGAUAGUCCUAUUAGAUGUUUGGACUAUUACAUUUUGUAUUGGUUUGUUGUAUUAGACAUUUGGAGUAUUGUAUUUUGUA